Sinocyclocheilus anshuiensis is the source of this 279-nucleotide long non-coding RNA. RefSeq lists it as uncharacterized. The record is from RefSeq and is a predicted model, not a curated record. Lineage: Eukaryota; Metazoa; Chordata; Actinopteri; Cypriniformes; Cyprinidae. The transcript is spliced from 3 exons.
UGAAGGUCAAAAAUGAGAAUGAAGAUAAAGGAGCGUAUGAGAAGAUCACCAUGUCCACUCCUGCUGCUGCGAGAGACAAUGAGCAGACAGAUGAUGUGACUUACUCUGAAGUCUCUUCUUCCAGUAAAAAGCCAGUAAAAUCGCUCAAAGAUCAUGAUGAUUCAGUGACUUAUGCUGCCAUCAGAUGAACAGAAAAUGAGCCGCUGGGUGAACUUUACGCCUCUGUGAACAGGAACAAGAGCUGCACAAAUAAACAUUCAUAAUCCAGAUCACUGCAUG